Molecule: ribosomal RNA, 800 nt
Filed under: uncultured bacterium
Lineage: Bacteria
Description: bacterial SSU rRNA
Rfam family: Bacterial small subunit ribosomal RNA
Source: RNAcentral
AGAGUUUGAUCCUGGCUCAGGAUGAACGCUAGCGGCAGGCCUAAUACAUGCAAGUCGAACGAUACCAGAGAGCUUGCUUUCUGGGAAAGUGGCGCACGGGUGCGUAACGCGUAUGCAACCUACCUUAAUCAGGGGGAUAGCCUCUCGAAAGAGAGAUUAACACCGCAUAAAAUCACACUUCGGCAUCGAAGAAUGAUCAAAUAUUUAUAGGAUUAAGAUGGGCAUGCGUGACAUUAGCUAGUUGGUAAGGUAACGGCUUACCAAGGCUACGAUGUCUAGGGGAUCUGAGAGGAUGACCCCCCACACUGGUACUGAGACACGGACCAGACUCCUACGGGAGGCAGCAGUAAGGAAUAUUGGUCAAUGGGGGCAACCCUGAACCAGCCAUGCCGCGUGCAGGAAGACGGCCCUACGGGUUGUAAACUGCUUUUAUACGGGAAUAAAUCUCGCUACGUGUAGUGAGUUGAAUGUACUGUAAGAAUAAGGAUCGGCUAACUCCGUGCCAGCAGCCGCGGUAAUACGGAGGAUCCAAGCGUUAUCCGGAUUUAUUGGGUUUAAAGGGUGCGUAGGCGGCCUAUUAAGUCAGGGGUGAAAGACGGUGGCUCAACCAUCGCAGUGCCCUUGAUACUGAUGGGCUUGAUUACACUUGAGGUAGGCGGAAUGUGACAAGUAGCGGUGAAAUGCAUAGAUAUGUCACAGAACACCAAUUGCGAAGGCAGCUUACUAAGGUGUCAAUGACGCUGAGGCACGAAAGCGUGGGGAUCAAACAGGAUUAGAUACCCUGGUAGUCCACGCCCUAA